AACGAACGCUGGCGGCAGGCCUAACACAUGCAAGUCGAACGCCCCGCAAGGGGAGUGGCAGACGGGUGAGUAACACGUGGGAACGUGCCCUAAGGUUCGGAAUAUUCCCGGGAAACUGGGAGCAAUACCGAAUGUGUCCGCAAGGAGAAAGAUUUAUCGCCUUAGGAUCGGCCCGCGUCGGAUUAGCUAGUUGGUGGGGUAAAAGCCUACCAAGGCGACGAUCCGUAGCUGGUUUGAGAGAACGACCAGCCACACUGGGACUGAGACACGGCCCAGACUCCUACGGGAGGCAGCAGUGGGGAAUCUUGGACAAUGGGCGCAAGCCUGAUCCAGCCAUGCCGCGUGGAUGAUGAAGGCCCUAGGGUUGUAAAAUCCUUUCGUUGGGGACGAUAAUGACGGUACCCAAAGAAGAAGCUCCGGCUAACUUCGUGCCAGCAGCCGCGGUAAUACGAAGGGGGCUAGCGUUGUUCGGAUUUACUGGGCGUAAAGCGCGUGUAGGCGGGUCGUUAAGUUGGGGGUGAAAUCCCGAGGCUCAACC
This 538-nucleotide ribosomal RNA is filed under the name uncultured bacterium. Its description in RNAcentral is "bacterial SSU rRNA". It matches the Rfam family "Bacterial small subunit ribosomal RNA", at positions 28 to 614 of the family's 1533-position model. The record is from RNAcentral.